ACCUAACAAACCCAGCUGCUCUCUCUCCUCUCCCUCUCAUCACUUUCUUUUCUCCUUCCUAGCUGCCACCAUUAUUUCCGAUGGCUUACCCAUUCGUCGAAUGCAGUUCAAGCGUCCACCAUGGAAGCUCAAAUGGCGAGGCAUGGCGGUGACAGGGACGGAAAUCAAUGAAGGAGAGAGAGAAUAAUGCUUGUGUGGGGCUCAAACUUUUCCUGCCAUCUUUGGCGAUUUCGACGAUUGUUGGACGUAAGGUCACUAACGCUAGAAUCCUUAUGCCAUGGGUGUUAUUUUGGGACCUCAUUCGCUGAUUUUCAUAGAGUUUUCUGCCGAGGAAGAAGGGAGAGAAACAAUACAUUUUUGGCGAGAUUCCUAACA
RNAcentral lists this unclassified non-coding RNA (375 nucleotides) under Hevea brasiliensis (rubber tree). Lineage: Eukaryota; Viridiplantae; Streptophyta; Magnoliopsida; Malpighiales; Euphorbiaceae. The record is from RNAcentral.